Molecule: ribosomal RNA, 253 nt
Filed under: uncultured bacterium
Lineage: Bacteria
Description: partial 16S ribosomal RNA
Rfam family: Bacterial small subunit ribosomal RNA
Source: RNAcentral
UACGUAGGGUCCGAGCGUUGUCCGGAAUUAUUGGGCGUAAAGAGCUCGUAGGCGGUCUGUUGCGUCGGUUGUGAAAACCUGGGGCUCAACUCCAGGCCUGCAAUCGAUACGGGCAGACUAGAGUUCGGUAGGGGAGACUGGAAUUCCUGGUGUAGCGGUGAAAUGCGCAGAUAUCAGGAGGAACACCGGUGGCGAAGGCGGGUCUCUGGGCAGUAACUGACGCUGAGGAGCGAAAGCGUGGGGAGCGAACAGG